This is a long non-coding RNA of Canis lupus familiaris (dog), 2166 nucleotides long. RefSeq lists it as uncharacterized. The transcript has 4 exons. The record is from RefSeq and is a predicted model, not a curated record. Lineage: Eukaryota; Metazoa; Chordata; Mammalia; Carnivora; Canidae.
AAUGUGAUGAACUACAUAAUAUAGUUCUAAUAUUGGACUACGCUUGUAUUCCUGGAGCACAUCAGGCUCAUGAUUCUCCUGCUGUAUCCAGUCUUGCUAAUAUUUAUUAUAUAUUUUUUAUCUUCGUUCAUAAGGGUGAUGGGCAAAUACCUGGGGAGAUGGCUGUCCAUCAUCUGUUCCUCAACAAUUCAGUAGACUUUUUGCAUAAAUCUGGGUCUGGUACCUUUAAUUAAAGAAAGAGACCUUUAACUACUUUCUCGUUUAUCUGUAAUUACUGUGAUUCAUACUUCUUCUUGGGUCAGUUUUUGUAAUUCCUGUAAAAUGAGACAUUUCCAAUUUAUAAAAUUUUACUUUGACAUUAUAAAACUCUGCUAUCCAGCCAUACUGACAUCCCUUUCUCGGUUGCUACCACUAACCUCUACCGCCGACCUGUUGACUUCCUUCAGAGGAGGAAGGAACUUUGCCUUAGCAACAGUGGAUGAGGUUGAUGAUGAUUUGAAUGCUAUGAUUGUUCUUCUGUUUCCCUACCACUAUUUACUUUAUUCUGUUUGCUUUUGGUUACCUCCCUGAAUCACCGACCACUAAAAUGGCAGAAUGGGAUGGGGGGGAAAUGGUCUAAUAUCAAGAUACCAAGAUUCUCAUCCUGGUUCCAGAACUUAGAAGCCUCCAACACAUACCGUGCCGUGGACACCUCAAUUCCUCUCAAAAUGAGAAUCGUUACGAUAGGGGCCAGUGGCACAAGGUGGGGAAGAGACAAACUCCCCAGGGGAAAAGAAGCUGAGCUUGGAAUUCUAUGGAAGCACGGAUUGUUCAGCCUCCCACCCGGUCUCUUCAGGAUGUGUCCGCAGAGAGCAUGCUACCAAACCAUGGGCGCCUUGGAAGGUCUAAUGCUCUGGCACUGAGGUCUGUUCUCCUGGCCGCAGCUCAAGUCAAUGCCAGGCGGAAUGAACAACGGAAGGGGAGAAAAUGGUCGCGUGUCAUCAACGGAAUCAACCGUAUUUACUACAAAGCGACUCUAGACACAACACGGAAGCUCAAGAUUCUUCCAAAGUUAGACGACGGACUUGAAUUCUUAAAGUGGAAUCAUAUUGCAAUGAUGGUUUUGUAACUUGAUGUUUUCCACUCAGUAAUAUAUCGUGACUAUCUCUCCGUGGCAAUCAACACACCUUGACAGCACCAUGUCCUAAUUAACUUUUCACUGAAAUAUCCUAAACCUUCAGAAAAGUGCACAUUUCAGAAGCACAGAGCUGGGUGCAUUUUCACCAACUGGCCAGACCCUGUAACAAGCUACUGCACCAAGAGGAAGAACGUGGCUGACACCCAGAGCCCCGCACCCGGCUCGUUCCAGGGAUCUCCCUUUCCCGAGAGUACCCGCCACCUUGUACCUGGACCCCCCAGCAGCCUGGGUUCAUUCCCAGCCCCACGCUGCAUGGCCUCAUGGGCGAUCCGGGGAAACCUGUGUCCUCUCGAAGGCCAGCUUGAGAUCUAACCCCCCGAGACCUGCAGAUGUGACCUUACGCAGAAGCAAGGCUCCUGCGGAGGUGAUGGAGCUCGGCUGAAGUCCCUGGGGGAGGGGGUGCAUGGAGACAGAGACCCCGGGGAGCGAGCCACAUGAGGAGGACGCAGAGCCGGAGCCCUGCAGCCCAAACACGGGCACCAGGUGUCAUGGGGAGAGGCAGGGAAGGGUUCGGGCCACACCUUGGUUGCAGACCUCAGCCUCCACAACAGUGCAUGGACCGCAGUGCCGUGGUCCUAAGGCGCCUGGAUGGAGGGGCUCGGCCCCGGCAGCUGCAGGAAGCCCAUAGGGACUCGGCUCGGCCUUGAUGGAGCUACAGUCUUUCUAACAUUUUAUUAUUCUCAUGCUGUUCUGAAUAUGCCUUUCACCUUUUCUCGUCAGAAGAAAUUGCAAAAGUGAAGUCCGUGUCGCAGAAUCUUAGUGGGAACUAUCAGUCCGACAGUGGCCAUGACCCAUCAAAUCACCACUUUUAAGAGUUGGACUUGGAGAAGCAGUCGAUGGGCACUGCUUCCCUUGCAUGUGUUCUCCUGUAACUCCAGUUUCACCAGGAUCCCCUAACUCCUGGGUACAAUGGACCCACGUAAGGAUACACCUGACUCCUGCCACCGUCUGCAUAAAGCAGAAAAUCCCAGACCCUUGUUUCUGGAAGC